UAACCUGCCUAUUAGAGGGGAUAACUAUUGGAAACGAUAGCUAAUACCGCAUAACAGUAUGUAACACAUGUUAGAUGCUUGAAAGAUGCAAUUGCAUCGCUAGUAGAUGGACCUGCGUUGUAUUAGCUAGUAGGUAGGGUAAUGGCCUACCUAGGCGACGAUACAUAGCCGACCUGAGAGGGUGAUCGGCCACACUGGGACUGAGACACGGCCCAG
RNAcentral lists this ribosomal RNA (216 nucleotides) under uncultured bacterium. RNAcentral's name for it is "partial 16S ribosomal RNA". It matches the Rfam family "Bacterial small subunit ribosomal RNA", at positions 122 to 334 of the family's 1533-position model. The record is from RNAcentral.